Molecule: non-coding RNA, 732 nt
Organism: Taeniopygia guttata (zebra finch)
Lineage: Eukaryota; Metazoa; Chordata; Aves; Passeriformes; Estrildidae
Source: RefSeq, a predicted model, not a curated record
CCGGCAGUAGGAAAAGUCUCUUAGUUCUUUAAAUUCAAGGUUGGCUCGUCGUUACUAGAGUCUUUUGUUGGAUUAUCUUGAAUGUUCCUUAAUUUGCAUAUUUCCCGGGAAUGCUACCCGACGCCAUUUUGGGGAGCAGCGGAGGCAACACCCGACGCAUACAACAAGGGUACAGGAGUGGGAAGAGGGAAGCACCGAUGGAGAUCCAGGCUCCUGCUGGAAUUCUAUCCACAAAUUGAUCAGCAAAAGAAGGAUCAGCAGCAUCCAGAUGGAAAACACGGCUCUGCCUGGCUUGGAGUUCCUGCCCCAGAGCUUCCAGAUCCCACAGACUUAUCUGGAUUAGGAGCUCCCAAUGCCAUUUAUUUCCAGCCAGUCCUGGAUCCAAAGGCUCAGCUUUUCCCUUGAAAUCUUAAGGAUCUGGGCUGUUCUCAUCCACCUGUGCCAAGAAUCCAACUUGGAGGGGUGUAUCCGAGGUUAUGGAUAGUUUGGCAGCAGUAUCCCAAAAUUCUGCAGCAAUUCCACCGGAUAAUUCUAGACUGGAUCCAUGACUGGCUUGAAAAGAGGGAGCCAGUGAGGGAAGGGAGGAAAGAGGGAAAUAAACCCUUUGGAAAACAGGAGGAUUGCUGAGAGCACUUCCAAUCAUUUUCCCUGGGAAGAAUCUCUGUCCAUUUGUCAAGCACAGGAGAAAAUUCAGGGAGACAGAAAUAAAGAUUGAAAUAUGUCACCAAUGAG